CCUACGGGGUGCAGCAGUGAGGAAUAUUGGUCAAUGGACGAGAGUCUGAACCAGCCAAGUAGCGUGAAGGAUGACUGUCCUAUGGGUUGUAAACCUCUUUUAUAUGGGAAUAAAACGUUCCACGUGUGGGCUUUUGUAUGUACCAUAUGAAUAAGGAUCGGCUAACUCCGUGCCAGCAGCCGCGGUAAUACGGAGGAUCCGAGCGUUAUCCGGAUUUAUUGGGUUUAAAGGGUGCGUAGGUGGAUUGUUAAGUCAGUUGUGAAAGUUUGCGGCUCAACCGUAAAAUGGCAGUUGAAACUGGAAGUCUUGAGUACAGUAGAGGUGGGCGGAAUUCGGGGUGUGGCGGUGAAAUGCUUAGAUAUCACGAAGAACUCCGAUUGCGAAGGCAGUUGACUGGACUGCAACUGACACUGAGGCUCGAAGGUGUGGGUAUCAAACAGAAUUGGAUACCCUGUAGUC
This 459-nucleotide ribosomal RNA is filed under the name uncultured bacterium. RNAcentral's name for it is "partial 16S ribosomal RNA". It matches the Rfam family "Bacterial small subunit ribosomal RNA", at positions 338 to 795 of the family's 1533-position model. The record is from RNAcentral.